RNAcentral lists this ribosomal RNA (465 nucleotides) under uncultured bacterium. RNAcentral's name for it is "bacterial SSU rRNA". It matches the Rfam family "Bacterial small subunit ribosomal RNA", at positions 331 to 792 of the family's 1533-position model. The record is from RNAcentral.
CCAGACUCCUACGGGAGGCAGCAGUGAGGAAUAUUGGUCAAUGGGCGCGAGCCUGAACCAGCCAAGUCGCGUGAGGGAUGACGGUCCUACGGAUUGUAAACCUCUUUUGCCGGGGAGCAAGCGUGCGUUCGUGAACGCACGUCGAGAGUACCCGGAGAAAAAGCAUCGGCUAACUCCGUGCCAGCAGCCGCGGUAAUACGGAGGAUGCGAGCGUUAUCCGGAUUUAUUGGGUUUAAAGGGAGCGUAGAUGGGUUGUUAAGUCAGUUGUGAAAGUUUGCGGCUCAACCGUAAAAUUGCAAUUGAUACUGGCAGUCUUGAGUACAGUUGAGGUAGGCGGAAUUCGUGGUGUAGCGGUGAAAUGCUUAGAUAUCACGAAGAACUCCGAUUGCGAAGGCAGCUUACUAAACUGCCACUGACAUUGAUGCUCGAAAGUGUGGGUAUCAAACAGGAUUAGAUACCCCAGUA